RNAcentral lists this unclassified non-coding RNA (333 nucleotides) under soil metagenome. RNAcentral describes it as "partial contains 5.8S ribosomal RNA, internal transcribed spacer 2, and large subunit ribosomal RNA". The stretch from base 1 to 121 matches the Rfam family "5.8S ribosomal RNA", at positions 35 to 154 of the family's 154-position model. The record is from RNAcentral.
GAUGAAGAACGUAGCAAAAUGCGAUAAGUAAUGCGAAUUGCAGAAUUUCCGUGAGUCAUCGAAUCUUUGAACGCACAUUGCGCCCUUUGGUAUUCCUUAGGGCAUGCCUGUUCGAGCGUCAUUUAAACCUUCAAGCUAAGCUUGGUGUUGGGUGACUGUCCGCUUCACGGCGGACUCGCCUCAAAAUUAUUGGCGGCCGGUACAUUGGCUUCGAGCGCAGCAGAAACGCGAACUCGGGCCCGUCGUAUUGGCUCCCAGAAGCUAUCUUCACAAUUUUGACCUCGGAUCAGGUAGGGAUACCCGCUGAACUUAAGCAUAUCAAUAAGCGGAGGA